This 996-nucleotide long non-coding RNA is filed under the name Arabidopsis lyrata. RNAcentral describes it as "long non-coding RNA (ALYR_LNC000277)". Lineage: Eukaryota; Viridiplantae; Streptophyta; Magnoliopsida; Brassicales; Brassicaceae. The record is from RNAcentral.
AGCGGUUCAAAGACUUGAAGAGAAGAGAGCCGGUUCUUAACAAACCAAGAUCAUAGCGACAUCAAGGACCGUGAAGGCUAUACUCUUUUUCCCUUAACAAAGUUUUAUCCCAAGUGGUUUUCUUUGUUAAGGUUUUUAAUGAGGUAGUCGACACGAGUCCACGCUUGAUCUCUGGUCCUCAUGUUGUCCCGACGAUCAAACGUGCGGGAGGGUAUUAAAAUAUAAGAAGAAGUAGAAAGGAGUCAAGGCCGAAGUCAUGACGACAAGGCCGAAGAUCUCCAAGCUUGACCUUUGGUCCUUAUUGUCCCGACGCUCAAGCUUGCGGGGGAGUAUUGAACCAAGUGAAGAGAAAGAUCUCCAUAAGAUAGCCGUGCAAAGCUCGGGUCACUUCAAGGUAUGAAGGCCGGAAGUGCAAAAUUGGUGUAAAGUCACCAAGACACCGAAGUGCAAAAUUGGUGUAAACACAUAAGACGAGUCAAGGCCGAAGAUCUCAAGACAAGGCCGAAGACGAGACACCAAUGUGCAAAAUUGGUGUCAAAGUUAUCAAGACCCAAUGUGCAAAAUUAGUGUCAAAGUUAUCAUGACCUAAUGUGCAUAAUUGGUGUCAAAAGUAUCAAGACCGAGGAUGCAAAAUGAAGUCUAUGCAAGAAUACAAGAAUGUGCAAAACUCGUGUCACCUAGUGAAGAUAAUAAUGUGCAAGAUUGGUGUCACAUAAGAGAAGCCCAUGAGAGACCUUCUAGAAGACCUAAGAGCCGUUGGAGACAAAGGAAGGAGACUCAAAUUCAAACUUGGUCUUGGUCAAAGUUGGACCACAACCUUCUAGAAGACAAAAGAGGACCACAACCUUCUAGAAGCUAUUUUGAAUUCAAUGGUGGAGAUUUAAAGAGAGAAAAGAAGGGCUAGGAUUAAAGGGAAUUGUGAGACAUCUUAACUUAGUUCUCCUUCUAUAUAAAGCCUUGUAAUCUCAUUGUAAAGGUUAACACAUCAAUAAGAAA